This 445-nucleotide ribosomal RNA is filed under the name uncultured bacterium. RNAcentral's name for it is "partial 16S ribosomal RNA". It matches the Rfam family "Bacterial small subunit ribosomal RNA", at positions 354 to 796 of the family's 1533-position model. The record is from RNAcentral.
GUGAGGAAUAUUGGACAAUGGGCGCAAGCCUGAUCCAGCCAUGCCGCGUGCAGGAAGACGCAUCUAUGGUGUGUAUACUGCUUUUGUACGGGAAGAAACACUCCCUCGUGAGGGAGCUUGACGGUACCGUAAGAAUAAGGAUCGGCUAACUCCGUGCCAGCAGCCGCGGUAAUACGGAGGAUCCAAGCGUUAUCCGGAAUCAUUGGGUUUAAAGGGUCCGUAGGCGGUUUAAUAAGUCAGUGGUGAAAGCCCAUCGCUCAACGAUGGAACGGCCAUUGAUACUGUUAGACUUGAAUUACAAGGAAGUAACUAGAAUAUGUAGUGUAGCGGUGAAAUGCUUAGAUAUUACAUGGAAUACCAAUUGCGAAGGCAGGUUACUACUUGUGGAUUGACGCUGAUGGACGAAAGCGUGGGGAGCGAACAGGAUUAGAAACCCGGGUAGUCC